This 299-nucleotide signal recognition particle RNA is filed under the name Aotus nancymaae (Ma's night monkey). RNAcentral's name for it is "Metazoan signal recognition particle RNA (ENSANAG00000000624.1)". It matches the Rfam family "Metazoan signal recognition particle RNA". From Rfam's summary of the family: The signal recognition particle (SRP) is a universally conserved ribonucleoprotein. It is involved in the co-translational targeting of proteins to membranes. The record is from Rfam by way of RNAcentral. Lineage: Eukaryota; Metazoa; Chordata; Mammalia; Primates; Aotidae.
GCCAGGCGCGGUGGCACAUGCCUGUAGUCCCAGCUACUCGGGCGGCUGAGGUGGGAGAAUCGCUUGAGCACACGAGCUCUGGGCUGUAGUGCGCUAUGCCAAUCGGGUGUCCGCACUAAGUUCAGCGUCAAUAUGGUGACCUCCAGGAGCAGGCAACCACCAGGUUGCCUAAGGAGCGGUGAACCAGCCCAGGUCGGAAACAGAGCAGGUCAAAACUCCCGUGCUGAUCAGUAGUGGGAUCGUGCUUGUGAAUAGCCACUGCACUCCAGCCGGGGCAACACAGCAAGACCCCAUGUCUU